AGGACAUAUUUCUUCAGGCUGACAGGGAAGUCAAAGGCUGAUUUGCUUCCAGCAUACCACUUGCUCAGUAUCAUUGUGGGCAAGAAAUGGCUGAGGAGGGACCGUUCGUGUAGCUCAACUACAUCUUCAUCCUUGUUCCUGUGUCUAUAACACCAGCAACGUGGUUAUUCCAGAACUGGAACUUUCUCAUGUUUCAACACAGUAUGGUCAUCAAAACUGUUCUGUGGCUGCUUUUGUCUCCUGAAAGUAAACGAUGGAUCUUGACUUGAAGGUCCUGCAAAUACAAGAGGUACUGCAAGACAUCCUUCUGGGUUCUGUAGUGAAAAGACAACCUCUGCCCCAAAAUACGAAGGAUUUAAUCCAGCAGAAGAGAAGUGGCAUGGAGAAGAAAGGCAGCAUAGGGAGCUGACCACAGGUUCUGGCAGUCUUUAAGAAACACUGAAAAAAUCCCUAUUCAGAAAAACUUUUGUAUCCUAAAAAUGAAGUCCAAGCUCUGACAUCACACCACAUUCAAAGAGACAAAGCAGAUGAAUUGAAUCCCUUGAUUUUCAUGUUCCAUUUAAAAAAGGAACAGCAUCGUUCACAAUGUUCACUGGUCACUUUCAUGUUUCAUGUGAAAAAAACUCUGGUCGUCUACAACUCUAAGAUGGCUACUAAAGAGGCUGGUUGUAGUUUUCUUCCAGGUUCAAUAAAACAAUUUUUAUUGUUUCUGUGA
Non-coding RNA from Phalacrocorax carbo (great cormorant), 715 nucleotides. The record is from RefSeq and is a predicted model, not a curated record. NCBI's taxonomy places the organism in Eukaryota, Metazoa, Chordata, Aves, Suliformes, Phalacrocoracidae.